This is a long non-coding RNA of Oreochromis niloticus (Nile tilapia), 1815 nucleotides long. RefSeq lists it as uncharacterized. Lineage: Eukaryota; Metazoa; Chordata; Actinopteri; Cichliformes; Cichlidae. The transcript is spliced from 3 exons. The record is from RefSeq and is a predicted model, not a curated record.
CACGUCUAAAACCUGCAGGACACCGGCCCCCGAGGCCUGGAGUUCGACACCUGUGUUUUAGACCAACGCUUGUGACUGAUUAAAGUUUGUCUGCACAGCAUAAGUUUGUGACCAGAUGGCAGGCUGCUGCUUAACUAUACUGAUGCAUGCGUGACAGAGAGCCGAGCUGGGCCAGGCCCCAGCAAAGAUAAAGUGAGGAUGAAAAUGUCAACAACAUGGCUGCAGCUCUUAGCCUGGAUGAUGAAGUGAUGCACUCGCGAUCGGUGGAGAGCCGCAACGAGGAGAGCGAGGAUUUAAUGGAGGCAGUAAAAGAAAGCAGGGUUUACAGAUGAGCUGAAGAAGACAAAAUAUCCAGAGAACGGUUGUUCUCUAGGUGAAUAUGCUCUGUAUUAUCAGAGGAGAAUUGUUAGACUGCAUUGACCUGACAGGAAGGUAACAGAAACUCAAAUAACUGCUUGUUACAACCAAGACAUGCAGAAGAGCAUCUCUGAACACACAAAUUACUUCCAGCCUUGAAGCAGAAGGGCUGCAGCAGCAGAAGACCGCACGGGUUGCGACUCCUGUUGCUGCCACAUUUGGAUGGUAGAGUAAUUUGAUGUGAAGAACAUAAAAACAUGGAUCCAUCCUGCCUUGUAUCAAUGACUCAGGUUGCUGCUGGUGGUGUAAUGGUGUGGGGGAUAUUUUCUUGGCACACUGAGGGCCUUUUAGUACCAGCUGAGCAUUAUUCAAUUGCCUGAGGCUACACGAGUAUUGUUGCUGACCAUGUCCAUCCCUUUAUAACCACAGUGUAUUCAUCUUCUGAUGGCUGCUUCUAGCUGGGUAAAACAUCAUAUCACAAAGCUCAAGUUUCUUGAAUGUGACAACGAGUUCACUGUGCCCAAAUGGCCUCUACAAUCACUAGAUCUCAAUCCAAUAAAGACCUUUUGCUGUAACAGGAGAUUUGCACCCACCAAAUCUGCAGGAGCUCUGUGAUGCUAUCAUGUCAAUAUGGACCAACACCCUGAGGAAUGCUUCCAGAAGCCUUUUCAGUCAGUCCAUGAAGAAUUAAGGCAGUAAUAGCAAGGCAUAGCUAAUAAAGUGGCUGACAAGUAGAAGUUUAUUCCAUGGAAAAAGACAGUUCUGCUGUUACUGAAUGAUAAAUGUUGCACAAUGAAAAAAACACCCUACAAAUUACACAGUAACAAUGCAAAAGUUCAUUUACCUGACCAUUUUAAUGGUGACAAACUAUAUGAUACAUCUGCUGCAUCGCCCCACUUACCACAUUAAAAAAAGGGUGAAUGGGGGUGAAAUGUCCCAUUAUUUCCAAAAAGUUUAGAAGCAGAUUAGCCUCUGAAUUACAAUCUCCUUUCCUCUCGCUUCUCUAACUCCUUUUGUGCUGAUUGUUACGACACAGCCCUUUGCUCGUUUCAGGUUUCGGUGUGUCAGUAGUAUCAGUAUCUUUGUGUUGUCAAUUUGGCAUUAAAAUGGAAAUCGAUUGCGCCGUGCUGUGAGACCCAAAGCACUUACCAAACACGGAAGACAUUAUUCAGCGAAUAAUUGGCUGCUGCAUUGCCAAGCAGAAUUGUGCCCAAGUGAUUGCUCUGAUUAGCCGAAGAUGACCCUGUGGAUAAUUGAUUUACUUAUUGCAGAAAGAUUAAUGCAAAGAUUAAUUGUCUUGCAAAGUAGAAAGUUCAUCUUAAUGCUGGUGAGAAAUUGUGUCUCUUUUAAAUGUAGCUCUCUUUACUUUUGUGCACUUUAAAGAUAUUUGUAAUUUUAUUUUUUUUAUUUUUUUUUAGUAGAUUUAAUCUUUUAGCCUAAGGUAAUGAAAACAACAAU